GAUGAACGCUGGCGGCGUGCCUAAUACAUGCAAGUCGAGCGAACGGACGAGAAGCUUGCUUCUCUGAUGUUAGCGGCGGACGGGUGAGUAACACGUGGAUAACCUACCUAUAAGACUGGGAUAACUUCGGGAAACCGGAGCUAAUACCGGAUAAUAUUUUGAACCGCAUGGUUCAAAAGUGAAAGACGGUCUUGCUGUCACUUAUAGAUGGAUCCGCGCUGCAUUAGCUAGUUGGUAAGGUAACGGCUUACCAAGGCAACGAUGCAUAGCCGACCUGAGAGGGUGAUCGGCCACACUGGAACUGAGACACGGUCCAGACUCCUACGGGAGGCAGCAGUAGGGAAUCUUCCGCAAUGGGCGAAAGCCUGACGGAGCAACGCCGCGUGAGUGAUGAAGGUCUUCGGAUCGUAAAACUCUGUUAUUAGGGAAGAACAUAUGUGUAAGUAACUGUGCACAUCUUGACGGUACCUAAUCAGAAAGCCACGGCUAACUACGUGCCAGCAGCCGCGGUAAUACGUAGGUGGCAAGCGUUAUCCGGAAUUAUUGGGCGUAAAGCGCGCGUAGGCGGUUUUUUAAGUCUGAUGUGAAAGCCCACGGCUCAACCGUGGAGGGUCAUUGGAAACUGGAAAACUUGAGUGCAGAAGAGGAAAGUGGAAUUCCAUGUGUAGCGGUGAAAUGCGCAGAGAUAUGGAGGAACACCAGUGGCGAAGGCGACUUUCUGGUCUGUAACUGACGCUGAUGUGCGAAAGCGUGGGGAUCAAACAGGAUUAGAUACCCUGGUAGUCCACGCCGUAAACGAUGAGUGCUAAGUGUUAGGGGGUUUCCGCCCCUUAGUGCUGCAGCUAACGCAUUAAGCACUCCGCCUGGGGAGUACGACCGCAAGGUUGAAACUCAAAGGAAUUGACGGGGACCCGCACAAGCGGUGGAGCAUGUGGUUUAAUUCGAAGCAACGCGAAGAACCUUACCAAAUCUUGACAUCCUUUGACAACUCUAGAGAUAGAGCCUUCCCCUUCGGGGGACAAAGUGACAGGUGGUGCAUGGUUGUCGUCAGCUCGUGUCGUGAGAUGUUGGGUUAAGUCCCGCAACGAGCGCAACCCUUAAGCUUAGUUGCCAUCAUUAAGUUGGGCACUCUAAGUUGACUGCCGGUGACAAACCGGAGGAAGGUGGGGAUGACGUCAAAUCAUCAUGCCCCUUAUGAUUUGGGCUACACACGUGCUACAAUGGACAGUACAAAGGGCAGCGAAACCGCGAGGUCAAGCAAAUCCCAUAAAGUUGUUCUCAGUUCGGAUUGUAGUCUGCAACUCGACUACAUGAAGCUGGAAUCGCUAGUAAUCGUAGAUCAGCAUGCUACGGUGAAUACGUUCCCGGGUCU
Molecule: ribosomal RNA, 1372 nt
Filed under: uncultured bacterium
Lineage: Bacteria
Description: bacterial SSU rRNA
Rfam family: Bacterial small subunit ribosomal RNA
Source: RNAcentral